Neopelma chrysocephalum (saffron-crested tyrant-manakin) is the source of this 1596-nucleotide long non-coding RNA. RefSeq lists it as uncharacterized. The record is from RefSeq and is a predicted model, not a curated record. Lineage: Eukaryota; Metazoa; Chordata; Aves; Passeriformes; Pipridae. The transcript is spliced from 3 exons.
CCAGACCAGCCCAGACUCAGACCUGUGAGGUACAUCCUGAUCGGCUCAGCAGCACCAGUCCUGCUGGGAGGGGAAGGCAGAGCUCAGCUUGUUUUGCUCCUCACACGGCUGACAAGAUAGAGGCAGGAGAAGGACUCCCAGCUUCUGCACCCUGCCACAGAAAAACAAUGAUCCAGCUGCCAUAUCUGGAGGACUCCAGCAGCAGAGGGCCCCACACAGCAAGCGCCUGCAGCCCCCAUUAGAUCCCUGGCAUGGAAGAGCUGCCAGACUCCUGCAAUGGGACUUCAGGGAGCAGGAGAUGCUGGCAGGGCACAUCUCUGCAGACCAACCUCUUCUCCCAGGCAACUAGACAAGGGGAAAUGGUGUCAAGUUGCACCAGGGUAGGUUCAGGUUGGAUAUGAGGAAAAAUUUCCUCACUGAAAGAGAGGUUAAGCACAGGAACAGGGUGCCCAGGGGAAGGGUGGAGUCACCAUCCCUGGAAGUGUUAAAUAAACAAGCAGACAUGGCACUGUGCCAUAUAGUUUAGUGGCCAUGGUGGUAUUAGGUCAAAAGUUGGACUUGGUGAUCUUGGAGGUCUUUUCCAAACUUAAUGAUUCUACGAUUCAAUGAUUCUCUCUCUUGCUAUCCUUUGAGGACAAUAGCAGCCCUCACAGUUCCCUCCUCAGGACUACAUUCCUGUGCCCCUCAGGCUUUUGUCUCUCUUGCCGUAUCUAAAAAGACAACUGAAUCUAGACAAAACUGAUCUAUUUUCAGCGCUUGGUCAUACUAGAACAGAAGGUCUGGUGGUAGCCAGCAUAGACACACCCUCCACCUCCAGCGCUAUUAAUUUUCCCCCCUGAGCACGGACAAGAUGGCUGCUGGCGUGGCCAUUGCUCCUCACAAAAUGUCUGCCAUGGUGACCUGCCCUCACUGCAAAAUGGCCGCCACUAGAGUCACCAUCAAGGUUUAGAUGGCUUGUCGCUAUUUUCCCUGCCCCAUGCCAGGAGUUUAUUCUCUCUCCUAUCAUAGUGUGGUCUCUGCCUGCCCUACCUGAUGAAGGGAAGGCAUGCCUGGCUCUUCCCUUUGGGGUGCCAUUAUCAAUCCUCCCACAAGGACAAGGUGGGGAGGAAAGGUCACAGGCUCUCAGGCUCACUGUCACCUUCCCUCACUGCAAAGGGAACUCUUGAGUGCGUUUUUCCCAAAGUGCCAUUUGCUGGAGGUAUGCCAUUAGAUGUUGUUUCAUUCAAGAUACAUGCUUCUAAUCUUACAGGGCUUACACAACACCAAGGCCUUUUCUGCUCCUCACCCCAGCAGUGAGGAGUCUGGGGGUGCACAAGGAGUUGGAAAGGGGACACAGAUGGGACAGCUGACCCCAAAUGACCCAAGGAAUAUCCCAGACCAUAUGUCAUCAUGUCCAGCACAUAAGAAUGUACGGGGAAGAAGAAUGUUUGGAAUUACAGCGUUUGAAUUCCCAAGUAACCAUUGCGUGUGAUGGAGCCCUGCUUUCUUGUGCAUGGCUCAACACUUGCCUGUUCAUGGGAAGUGGUGCAUUAACUCCUUGUUUGUCUUGUUUGUGUGCUGUGCUUUGCUUUACCUAUUAAACUGUCUUUAUCUAAA